RNAcentral lists this ribosomal RNA (252 nucleotides) under uncultured bacterium. RNAcentral describes it as "partial 16S ribosomal RNA". It matches the Rfam family "Bacterial small subunit ribosomal RNA", at positions 524 to 776 of the family's 1533-position model. The record is from RNAcentral.
UACGUAGGUGGCAAGCGUUAUCCGGAUUUAUUGGGUUUAAAGGGUGCGUAGGCGGGAUGCCAAGUCAGCGGUAAAAAUGCGGUGCUCAACGCCGUCGAGCCGUUGAAACUGGCGUUCUUGAGUGGGCGAGAAGUAUGCGGAAUGCGUGGUGUAGCGGUGAAAAGCAUAGAUAUCACGCAGAACUCCGAUUGCGAAGGCAGCAUACCGGCGCCCUACUGACGCUGAGGCACGAAAGCGUGGGUAUCGAACAGG